This is a long non-coding RNA of Dreissena polymorpha, 2797 nucleotides long. RefSeq lists it as uncharacterized. The transcript has 2 exons. The record is from RefSeq and is a predicted model, not a curated record. Lineage: Eukaryota; Metazoa; Mollusca; Bivalvia; Myida; Dreissenidae.
CAAUUGUGGUGAUUGUGGUGAUGUAGAUAAACUUAACUUGAUGCUUUUAUAUCCAUCCUCUCAAAAGCAUCGUCACACCAGUACUGUCAGUACUUUGAUUCCCAUUCGACUGGUUUUGCUCUUGUAUAAAAUAAAACCACCUUAAACCUGCUGAAACAUGUUUCAAAUAAUGUAGGUUUCUUUCGGCGUUACUUUUCAAAAGGCUAUACAGUUUGAGUUAUUCAUCAUAGUUGGACUUGACUCUCGCUGGUGAAAGUUUUAAGUUAGUAAUCAUUUAAAGGUUACAACUAUUGAGUCUGAUAAAAACAAAAACACAUUUAUAUGUAAGGGAUUUGUUUGGUUCGCUUCGGAUUAUCGAAUACCCAAAAUAAUUUGUAAUGACGAAGCAAAGUGCGAGUGCAUAUGAGGUUGUUUUACAACAACAAAUGCAAGGAGUGAUGAUGGUGGGGACGUUGCAAGGACACAGAGACUGGCAUACGGGACUUUGCUCAUGCUGUCAGGACUGUAAAACACGGCUCUAUUUGCAAUGUCUGGUCAUGAACUGUUGUGGACCGUGUGCAUUGUGUCAGAUGAGGAGAGAACUGGACGCUAUGGGCUUAUGAACAUAUGUUGAAAAAUGAAUAUCUUUAUCCGGGUUAGAUUUUGCAAUUUCAGAAAAAGAAAUUUCCAAAGCUAUUUCAUCAGUUAAAAAAAAAAAUCUGCUGGUCUUGACUCUAUUAGUAAUGAAAUGAUAAAGGCUGGACAAAAUAGUCUUUUGCAAUCUUAUAAAAAAAGCUUUAAUUGUAUACUUUUAAGUGGUACAUCUGCAUGGAAAUCUGAUUCUAUGAAAAGGCAAUUCAUAAAGGUGGGUACCCUAAUGACCCUAAUAAUUAUAAAUGUAUAUCAGUUAUGCCAUGUCAUUCAAAAGUUUUCAAUUGUUUAUUGAAUAGCAGAUUGCAAAAAGUUUUCAGCCUCACUCAAGAACAUCUGAUCACAUGUGGAUUGUUCGAACUUUAAUUGAUAUUUUUUUUAGUAAGGGAGCUAAACUGAAUGCAUGUUUCGUUGACUUUUUCAAGGCUUUUGAUAAGGCUUUUACUCACUCCUUUCAUAUAAACUAUGUAAUAUUGGUAUAUCUGGUCCAUUUUAUACUGUAGUUAAAAGUAUGUAUCAAUCAAAUUUGAUUCACAUCAAAGUUGAUGAUAGGUUAACUAAAUCAUUUUCUCCCCAGAUGGGAGUGCGUCAAGGGGUCAACCUUAGCCCGAAUCUUUUCAACAUAUGUGUUAAUGAUAAGCCAUCAAUUUUUAAUAGUGAAGAUGACCAAUUGUGUCUUAAUUAUGUGAAUUUUAGUUGUUUGCUAUAUGGUGAUGAAUAAGCUAUCAAUGUUUUGUGAAAAUAAUGGUCUGAUUGUAAAUAUAAAGAAAACGAAUAUUAUGACUUUUAGUAAAUGUGGAAAGCUAUCUAAUGAAAUGUACUACUUAAAUGAUGUUGAAGUCAAGCAUGUAAAAAGGUAUAAAUAUCUUGGAAUUAUUUUUGCAUCAUCUGGAACUUUUAGCUACUGUAAGAUUUAUCUUUACAAAAGAGGGAUGAACGCAAGUUUUGAGAUAAGUAAGGUUUUUAAUCAAUUACAUCAAAAUGUUGACAGUAGUAUCAUUAAUCUUUUUGAUCAUACCAUUAAGUCUAUCAUCUUGUAUGUAAGUGAGAUAUGGGGAGCUCCAAACAUCACUAGCUCUACUGUAAGAAAAACAAACUAUAAUUUAUUGAAGUCUUUUGAAAAUAUGUAUUGUGAUAAAAUGCAAGUACACUUUUUAAAAUACGUUCUUGGUGUACACAAAAAUGCAACAAAUGAAGCAGUGUGUGGUGAAUUAGGAAGAUACCCGCUAUAUAUUGAUGUAAUAUGUAACAUAAUUUAAUUUUAUCAAAGACUUAUUUGCGAAAAUGUUAGCAAACUCCUCUCUGCUGCUUUUGUUGAAAGCAAAUUAUUUAAUGUUUAUAAUAAUAAAGCAAGCUGGGUUUCCUCUGUACAUCAUUGUUUUAUACAUUAAGAUAUUUCGGAGGCUGAUUUGUAUAAUAAGAACUUAACACAUACCGCUAAAUUUUAGAUGGUGAAUAUGUAUAAAACCAACUGGUGCUUAAAAAUCUCAGGCAAUAAAGGGAAGCUUAGAACACACUCAUGAUUCAAGCAAAGAUUUUGUAAAGAACAGUACUUUCGACAAAUAAAAGAUUAAGAUGCAAGAACCUUAAUUGCACAUAGAAACAGGAAGAUAUAAGAAACUCCCAGCAAAUCAAAGAUUUUGUAAGUGUUGCUCUUCUAAUCUAGUUGAAGACGAAAUUCAUUUUUCUAUAUGUUGUAAAACUUUCGAAAUUAGUAGAGAUUCUUUUUUUAAACAAAUUGAGAUUUUAAAUGAAAACUUUGUGUUGCUUAUAAAGAAAGAGCAAAAAUGUGUUUGGUCCAUGUCAUCUGAAGACAGCGAAGUUCUAAAAUUGUUUUCUCAAUAUCUACUCGAGAUUUAUGUAAAGCGAACUGCUCUGUUAGGUAACAAUUUGUCAGGCCAUCGAAUUGUUCAUUCUACAUGUAUUUUAUUGACGAUUAGGUUCAAUUUACUUACUACUUUAUUUCAUCACUUAUUUUCACGUUGUUAAGCUUGUGUUAUUUGUGUUCCCACCUAUACGAAUUUAGCUUUAGUAACUUUAAUGUUCUUAUUUAUACCAUACUUCAUUGAUGGUUUUUAGAUUACGUUACUUGCUUUAUGUUUUAUAUUUGUGAUUAUAUAUGGCAUACUGUAUGACCCUUGAUUGGCUGAAUAAAGUUAUUCUGUUC